CACGUAGGGCGCAAGCGUUGUCCGGAAUCAUUGGGCGUAAAGAGCGUGUAGGCGGUCCGGUAAGUCGGUUGUGAAAGUCAAGGGCUCAACCCUUGAAUGCCGACCGAUACUGCCGGGCUAGAGUCCGGAAGAGGUGAGUGGAAUUCCUGGUGUAGCGGUGAAAUGCGCAGAUAUCAGGAGGAACACCAAUGGCGAAGGCAGCUCACUGGGACGGUACUGACGCUGAGACGCGAAAGCGUGGGGAGCAAACAGG
This 253-nucleotide ribosomal RNA is filed under the name uncultured bacterium. Its description in RNAcentral is "partial 16S ribosomal RNA". It matches the Rfam family "Bacterial small subunit ribosomal RNA", at positions 524 to 776 of the family's 1533-position model. The record is from RNAcentral.